GAUGAACGCUGGCGGCGUGCCUAAUACAUGCAAGUCGAGCGAAUGGAUUGAGAGCUUGCUCUUAUGAAGUUAGCGGCGGACGGGUGAGUAACACGUGGGUAACCUGCCCAUAAGACUGGGAUAACUCCGGGAAACCGGGGCUAAUACCGGAUAACAUUUUGAACCGCAUGGUUCGAAAUUGAAAGGCGGCUUCGGCUGUCACUUAUGGAUGGACCCGCGUCGCAUUAGCUAGUUGGUGAGGUAACGGCUCACCAAGACAACGAUGCGUAGCCGACCUGAGGGGGUGAUCGGCCCCACUGGGACUGAGACACGGCCCAGACUCCUACGGGAGGCAGCAGUAGGGAAUCUUCCGCAAUGGACGAAAGUCUGACGGAGCAACGCCGCGUGAGUGAUGAAGGCUUUCGGGUCGUAAAACUCUGUUGUUAGGGAAGAACAAGUGCUAGUUGAAUAAGCUGGCACCUUGACGGUACCUAACCAGAAAGCCACGGCUAACUACGUGCCAGCCGCCGCGGUAA
RNAcentral lists this ribosomal RNA (515 nucleotides) under uncultured bacterium. RNAcentral's name for it is "partial 16S ribosomal RNA". It matches the Rfam family "Bacterial small subunit ribosomal RNA", at positions 28 to 523 of the family's 1533-position model. The record is from RNAcentral.